GAUGGGGUGGCAGAGCACGGUAAUUGCAAAAGGUCUAAGCCCUUUCAACAGGGGUUCAAAUCCUCUCCCCAACA
Molecule: transfer RNA, 74 nt
Filed under: Apistus carinatus (ocellated waspfish)
Lineage: Eukaryota; Metazoa; Chordata; Actinopteri; Perciformes; Apistidae
Description: tRNA-Leu
Rfam family: tRNA
About the family: Transfer RNA (tRNA) molecules are approximately 80 nucleotides in length. Their secondary structure includes four short double-helical elements and three loops (D, anti-codon, and T loops).
Source: RNAcentral